CCUACGGGAGGCAGCAGUGGGGAAUCUUGCGCAAUGGGGGCAACCCUGACGCAGCCAUGCCGCGUGAAUGAUGAAGGCCUUAGGGUUGUAAAGUUCUUUUGCCCGUGACGAUGAUGACGGUAACGGGAGAAUAAGCUCCGGCUAACUUCGUGCCAGCAGCCGCGGUAAUACGAAGGGGGCUAGCGUUGUUCGGAAUUACUGGGCGUAAAGCGCGCGCAGGCGGUUCGAUAAGUUAGGGGUGAAAUCCCUGGGCUCAACCCAGGAAUGGCCUUUAAGACUGUCGAGCUAGAGGACGAGAGAGGUGAGUGGAAUUCCCAGUGUAGAGGUGAAAUUCGUAGAUAUUGGGAAGAACACCGGUGGCGAAGGCGGCUCACUGGCUCGUUUCUGACGCUGAGGCGCGAAAGCGUGGGGAGCAAACAGGAUUAGAUACCCUGGUAGUCCACGCCCUAAACGAUGAGUGCCAGGUGUCGGGAAGCUUAGCUUCUCGGCGCCGCAGCUAACGCCUUAAGCACUCCGCCUGGGGAGUACGGCCGCAGGUUAAAACUCAAAGGAAUUGACGG
Molecule: ribosomal RNA, 560 nt
Filed under: uncultured bacterium
Lineage: Bacteria
Description: bacterial SSU rRNA
Rfam family: Bacterial small subunit ribosomal RNA
Source: RNAcentral